AACUAUUCCACAGUGGAACUGUGCAAACAGUUAUAACUGUAGAAUUUGUACAACUGUUCUUUCUACUUCAUAAGUAAAGAUAAAGAGACAUUUUACUAUAAGAAAUUAAGUGAGAUUGACCACCAAGAAAGUUGGUCCGAGAGUUAAGACAAGAGACAAGUGAACGCCGAUGCGAAAAGUACCGCCAAGGCCAGGAGAGCCGCUUAGGGAAAAAAGCUAAAGCCACUGAAUGUCCAGAUUGUCAUUAUCCGCAAC
RNAcentral lists this long non-coding RNA (255 nucleotides) under Amborella trichopoda. Its description in RNAcentral is "long non-coding RNA (ATRI_LNC001239)". The record is from RNAcentral. Lineage: Eukaryota; Viridiplantae; Streptophyta; Magnoliopsida; Amborellales; Amborellaceae.